AUGAGACAACGAUUAUAGCAGGAGCACUAGAGCUCAGUGAGAAAACAGCUGGUGAUGCCAUGACUCCUAUAUCUGAAACUUUUGCGAUUGAUAUAAAUGCCAAACUUGACAAGGAUUUGAUGAAUUUGGUCUUGGAGAAAGGGCAUAGCAGAGUGCCAGUNUUAUUAUGAGCAACCUACAAAUAUAAUUGGACUUAUUCUGGUGAAGAAUUUAUUGACAAUUCACCCAGAAGAUGAAACACCAGUAAAGAAUGUCACCAUUCGAAGGAUUCCCAGGGUUCAAGAAAAUUUGCCAUUAUAUGAUAUACUGAAUGAGUUUCAGAAAGGUCACAGCCACAUGGCUGUUGUUGUAAGAAAGUGCAACAAGACAGAGAAGUCAACCAGUAACACGGCUGGUGUAAAAGAAGUUAGAGUUGAUGUUGAUGGUGAAAAGCCUCCUCAAGAGAAAACUUUAAAAAACAGAAGGCCGCUUCAGAAGUGGAAGAGCUUUCCCAAUGCCGGCAGCAAUUCAUUUAAGGGCUCAAGAAGCAAGAAGUGGACAAAGGACCUUGACUCGGAUAUCUUGCUUAUAAAUGGCAAUCCACUCCCUCAAAUUCCUGAAGAAGAAGAAGCUGUAGGCAUAAUAACAAUGGAAGAUGUCAUUGAAGAGCUUUUACAGGAGGAGAUCUAUGAUGAGACAGAUCAUCAUUUUGAAGACACAUGACACUGGUGUUCUUUGAGGAGCAAAAUCUAGUGUAGUAUAGACAAUCACUAAAAAUUUGUUAAAUUUAUUUCGGACAUUAGACUAGACUUGAGCUGGAGUAAAAACCAAGAAUAGAAUGAUCAGAAACUCGUUGUUUGCUAUGUAUUGCUUGUAUCAAGAAUAACUAGAAUUGUUGGUGCUUGUAUUGUUUGUAAAGGAAAUGGAUUCUUUGUUCAGCAGUGGGAAUCAAAAAGCUGCAAUAUUCAGGUAUCAGGCAGAGUCUUUAGGCAGCUGCCUGCUUAUCUUGCUGUAAGAUAGCAGCAAUGGAGAUGAUAUUGGCAUUUUAGGGUUUGAAAUUUGAAUGGAGAGAACUCAUGCAGUGG
This 1064-nucleotide unclassified non-coding RNA is filed under the name Hevea brasiliensis (rubber tree). Lineage: Eukaryota; Viridiplantae; Streptophyta; Magnoliopsida; Malpighiales; Euphorbiaceae. The record is from RNAcentral.